GGGAGCCAUCGCAUCGAUGGAUCGUGCGCUUUUAAUGGCCCCUCUCCCAUCGGAACUCUGCAGGUAAGCGCACUUGGGCUAGAGUAGUAUUGGGAUGGAUGACCUCCCGGGAUGUUCUAGUGUUGUACCCU
Picea glauca (white spruce) is the source of this 131-nucleotide non-coding RNA. NCBI's taxonomy places the organism in Eukaryota, Viridiplantae, Streptophyta, Pinopsida, Pinales, Pinaceae. The record is from Rfam.